UUAGAUGCGAUGAAGGAACAAUGGCCCAAGCGAUCAACCUGCAGAGAGCCGGUGGCGGGUGAAAACCGGCGGAGACGUUUGGCGUUAACAGCACUCCUGAGCAGCUGUAUUGAACCGAUAGUAGGUACAGCCGGCAGAAACCGUUAUCGUUCAUGGUCGUAAGACCGGUGAGGUUAUACUUGUUGACAGUAUAACGAAUUAGGGUGGCACCACGAAAUAAACUCUCGUCCCUUAC
This 235-nucleotide non-coding RNA is filed under the name Paenibacillus sp. CECT 9249. RNAcentral describes it as "T-box". It matches the Rfam family "T-box leader". Rfam says of the family: Uncharged tRNA acts as the effector for transcription antitermination of genes in the T-box leader family. T-boxes are found upstream of many aminoacyl-tRNA synthetase genes and some amino acid biosynthetic genes usually in Gram-positive bacteria. The anticodon of a specific tRNA base pairs to a specifier sequence within the T-box motif, and the NCCA acceptor tail of the tRNA base pairs to a conserved bulge in the T-box antiterminator hairpin. Lineage: Bacteria; Bacillati; Bacillota; Bacilli; Caryophanales; Paenibacillaceae. The record is from RNAcentral.